Molecule: ribosomal RNA, 604 nt
Filed under: Canthidium haroldi
Lineage: Eukaryota; Metazoa; Arthropoda; Insecta; Coleoptera; Scarabaeidae
Description: eukaryotic LSU rRNA
Rfam family: Eukaryotic large subunit ribosomal RNA
Source: RNAcentral
GAGUCAUUGGGACUCUACUAAACCUAAAGGCGCAAUGAAAGUAAAAGUCCGCCUCGCGCGGACCGAGGGAGGAUGGGACCGUCCUAGGGCGGACCCCGCACUCCCGGGGCGUCUCGUUCUCAAUGCGAGAAGAGGCGCACCCAGAGCGUACACGCUGGGACCCGAAAGAUGGUGAACUAUGCCUGGUCAGGACGAAGUCAGGGGAAACCCUGAUGGAGGUCCGUAGCGAUUCUGACGUGCAAAUCGAUCGUCGGAACUGGGUAUAGGGGCGAAAGACUAAUCGAACCUUCUAGUAGCUGGUUCCCUCCGAAGUUUCCCUCAGGAUAGCUGGCGCUCGCCUUUGCGAGUCUCAUUCGGUAAAGCGAAUGAUUAGAGGCAUUGGGGUCGAAACGGCCUCAACCUAUUCUCAAACUUUAAAUGGGUGAGAUCUCCGGCUUGCUUGAAGCGUGAAGCCGCGAGAAAUCGGAUCAGAGUGCCAAGUGGGCCACUUUUGGUAAGCAGAACUGGCGCUGUGGGAUGAACCAAACGCCGAGUUAAAGCGCCAAAAUCGACGCUUAUGGGAUACCAUGAAAGGCGUUGGUAACUUAAGACAGCAGGACGGUGG